GUGACUGAUUGGGAUGAUGUGCAGCUGGGCGAGUGCGAGUGUGCUUGAAGGGGCCGGAGAGGGAGUUAAAUCUCUCAAUGCUGGAUGAAAGUCUCCGUGCGGGAGUUUUCUAAAAAUACCUCACCCCUCACCCCUGAAAUGGUAGUAGGGCAACCCACUCCAGAAGUUGUCAGGAGUUUUGUUCCGGACAAAUCUAGGUGGAGCAAGCACUGAGUUUGUCCCAGCAUGAACAGGUGCUGAAUUUUGGGUUUCCAGCUUCUACAAAGAAUAGCUAGUCAACAGAACAUUGACAUCUUUGCUGCUGAUUGCCAUGUGACUCUCACCUGGUUGCCCCCAUAUUCAGCAGACCCCAUGGAUCACCUCCCUGUUGAUGUGAAAAUGCAGGACGCUGUGCUCCUUCCAUCAUGGAAACCAGGUCAUUGGAUGAUAUGUAUCUUGAAGCCCAAACCGAAACAAAUAUUUUUCCUCAACUCAAUGGGAGGCCCUGGCAUUGGUGAUGCCGCU
Molecule: long non-coding RNA, 504 nt
Organism: Clupea harengus (Atlantic herring)
Lineage: Eukaryota; Metazoa; Chordata; Actinopteri; Clupeiformes; Clupeidae
Source: Ensembl